RNAcentral lists this ribosomal RNA (1440 nucleotides) under uncultured organism. RNAcentral's name for it is "16S ribosomal RNA". It matches the Rfam family "Bacterial small subunit ribosomal RNA". The record is from RNAcentral.
GCUUAACACAUGCAAGUCGAGGGGCAGCACAGGUAGCAAUACUGGGUGGCGACCGGCGCACGGGUGAGUAACGCGUAUGCAACUUACCUAUCAGAGGGGGAUAACCCGGCGAAAGUCGGACUAAUACCGCAUGAAGCAGGGGCCCCGCAUGGGGAUAUUUGCUAAAGAUUCAUCGCUGAUAGAUAGGCAUGCGUUCCAUUAGGCAGUUGGCGGGGUAACGGCCCACCAAACCGACGAUGGAUAGGGGUUCUGAGAGGAAGGUCCCCCACAUUGGUACUGAGACACGGACCAAACUCCUACGGGAGGCAGCAGUGAGGAAUAUUGGUCAAUGGCCGAGAGGCUGAACCAGCCAAGUCGCGUGAGGGAUGAAGGUUCUAUGGAUCGUAAACCUCUUUUAUAAGGGAAUAAAGUGCGGGACGUGUCCCGUUUUGUAUGUACCUUAUGAAUAAGGAUCGGCUAACUCCGUGCCAGCAGCCGCGGUAAUACGGAGGAUCCGAGCGUUAUCCGGAUUUAUUGGGUUUAAAGGGUGCGUAGGCGGCCUUUUAAGUCAGCGGUGAAAGUCUGUGGCUCAACCAUAGAAUUGCCGUUGAAACUGGGGGGCUUGAGUAUGUUUGAGGCAGGCGGAAUGCGUGGUGUAGCGGUGAAAUGCAUAGAUAUCACGCAGAACCCCGAUUGCGAAGGCAGCCUGCCAAGCCAUGACUGACGCUGAUGCACGAAAGCGUGGGGAUCAAACAGGAUUAGAUACCCUGGUAGUCCACGCAGUAAACGAUGAUCACUAGCUGUUUGCGAUACACAGUAAGCGGCACAGCGAAAGCGUUAAGUGAUCCACCUGGGGAGUACGCCGGCAACGGUGAAACUCAAAGGAAUUGACGGGGGCCCGCACAAGCGGAGGAACAUGUGGUUUAAUUCGAUGAUACGCGAGGAACCUUACCCGGGUUUGAACGCAUUCGGACCGAGGUGGAAACACCUUUUCUAGCAAUAGCCGUUUGCGAGGUGCUGCAUGGUUGUCGUCAGCUCGUGCCGUGAGGUGUCGGCUUAAGUGCCAUAACGAGCGCAACCCUUGCCACUAGUUACUAACAGGUAAAGCUGAGGACUCUGGUGGGACUGCCAGCGUAAGCUGCGAGGAAGGCGGGGAUGACGUCAAAUCAGCACGGCCCUUACAUCCGGGGCGACACACGUGUUACAAUGGCGUGGACAAAGGGAGGCCACCUGGCGACAGGGAGCGAAUCCCCAAACCACGUCUCAGUUCGGAUCGGAGUCUGCAACCCGACUCCGUGAAGCUGGAUUCGCUAGUAAUCGCGCAUCAGCCAUGGCGCGGUGAAUACGUUCCCGGGCCUUGUACACACCGCCCGUCAAGCCAUGGGAGCCGGGGGUACCUGAAGUCCGUAACCGCGAGGAUCGGUCUAGGGUAAAACUGGUGACUGGGGCUAAGUCAUAACA